GAUGAACGCUGGCGGCGUGCCUAAUACAUGCAAGUCGAGCGAACGGACGAGAAGCUUGCUUCUCUGAUGUUAGCGGCGGACGGGUGAGUAACACAUGGAUAACCUACCUAUAAGACGGGGAUAACUUCGGGAAACCGGUGCUAAUACCGGAUAAUAUUUUGAACCGCUUGGUUCAAAAGUGAAUGACGGUCUUGCUGUCACUUAUAGAUGGUUCCGCGCUGGAUUAGCUAGUUGGUAAGGUAACGGCUUACCAAGGCAACGAUGCAUAGCCGACCUGAGAGGAUGAUCGGCCACACUGGAACUGAGACACGGUCCAGACUCCUACGGGAGGCAGCAGUAGGGAAUCUUGGGCAAUGGGCGAAAGCCUGACCGAGCAACGCCGCGUGGGUGAUGAAGGUCUUCGGAUUGUAAAACUCUGUUAUUAGGGAAGAACAUAAGUGUAAGUAACUGUGCACAUCUUGACGGUACCUAAUCAGAAAGCCCCGGCUAACUACGUG
This 497-nucleotide ribosomal RNA is filed under the name uncultured bacterium. RNAcentral's name for it is "partial 16S ribosomal RNA". It matches the Rfam family "Bacterial small subunit ribosomal RNA", at positions 28 to 507 of the family's 1533-position model. The record is from RNAcentral.